AGAGAACAGUCUCCAUUUGAAAACCAACACCAUAAGGCCUGCUGAAGAGUUAAAAGCUGCUGGUUAGACUUCAUUGCUUUAUUGGGAUAUUUUUAGCCAAGCUUGUGGUCCGGCUCUCUGGAUGGCAAAGUCUGUUGGUCGUUCCACCACUUUGAUCGGAAAUAUUUCCAAAACUAUUGAAUGUAUUGCCAUGAAAUUUGGUACAGACAUUGAUGGUGCCCAGAGGAUAAAUUCUAAUGUCUUUGAUGUGUCAUGAGGACUGUUCUUUCUUUGUUAUAGCUGGCCCCUGCUCACUUCCCUUCAGGCAAUGUACUCUACUCCCCAGACUUGCCAUCCUCAACCCAUCCACUAGAUGCCCUCAGACUUUCUUGCCAGUCCCGGUCACCUGACAUCCCCUCCCACCUACAACACAUGUUCCCACUUUCCUCAUCAGCCCUGCAGAUAUAUACCAGCACAUUUCCAUUUGUUCUAAAGCAGUUCCUGGUUGCCAAGUCUCUGUGGACAAAGUGCUGGGAGGCCAGGUAGACCAUGCCAGCAGCAAUCUGUUGGGCAAUGUGCAGCAUCUGGGACUGGGUGAGUUCCACCAGGAUACUGUGUUGACCGUCUGCCAUUAGCACUGCAUCAGGACCGUGGGACCUGCACACAGAAACACUCCAUCAGAGCUUCAAUCAAUGAAUGACCAGGUUGGUGAGGAGCUCGGCCUCUCUGUAGAAAUCUGCUCGGCCGCUCUCGUUGGCCUCUUUCAGCGUCUGACGAAAGGCAAAGACACAAAGACGAGGGAAAUCCUCGAUCCCCGGUGCAGAAUCAAUACAAACAAUCCUUGAGAUGCUGCAAGUGCAGGAUGCUGGGCAAGCAUCGCUGAAUCUCCACAGCCCCAUCAUGAGAAAAAAAACCCAAAACAAUCCAAGAAGACGAGCCAUGCCAUAUUCCCCCGCGCUGGAGUCCAUCAUCGCAGGAAAAAGGAGACGUCGAUGAGGAAUGCGCAGAAGAGCCCUGCACGGUUUUUAAUAUCAAGAUGCCAUGGACUGGCCUUCUCUGUCUCCGCAGAGCUGCUAUCACACUACUGCAUAUCGAU
Sebastes umbrosus (honeycomb rockfish) is the source of this 1075-nucleotide long non-coding RNA. RefSeq lists it as uncharacterized. Lineage: Eukaryota; Metazoa; Chordata; Actinopteri; Perciformes; Sebastidae. The record is from RefSeq and is a predicted model, not a curated record. The transcript is spliced from 5 exons.